Molecule: ribosomal RNA, 468 nt
Filed under: uncultured bacterium
Lineage: Bacteria
Description: partial 16S ribosomal RNA
Rfam family: Bacterial small subunit ribosomal RNA
Source: RNAcentral
GACGAACGCUGGCGGCGUGCUUAACACAUGCAAGUCGAACGGAAAGGCCCUGCUUUUGUGGGGUGCUCGAGUGGCGAACGGGUGAGUAACACGUGAGUAACCUGCCCUUGACUUUGGGAUAACUGCAGGAAACUGGGGCUAAUACCGGAUAGGAGCUCCUGCUGCAUGGUGGGGGUUGGAAAGUUUCGGCGGUUGGGGAUGGACUCGCGGCUUAUCAGCUUGUUGGUGGGGUAGUGGCUUACCAAGGCUUUGACGGGUAGCCGGCCUGAGAGGGUGAACGGCCACAUUGGGACUGAGAUACGGCCCAGACUCCUACGGGAGGCAGCAGUGGGGAAUAUUGCACAAUGGGCGGAAGCCUGAUGCAGCAACGCCGCGUGCGGGAUGACGGCCUUCGGGUUGUAAACCGCUUUCGCCUGUGACGAAGCGUGAGUGACGGUAAUGGGUAAAGAAGCACCGGCUAACUACGUG